CAGUCGCCGCGGUAAUACGAAGGGUGCAAGCGUUACUCGGAAUUACUGGGCGUAAAGCGUGCGUAGGUGGUGGUUUAAGUCCGUUGUGAAAGCCCUGGGCUCAACCUGGGAAUUGCAGUGGAUACUGGAUCACUAGAGUGUGGUAGAGGAUAGUGGAAUUUCCGGUGUAGCAGUGAAAUGCGUAGAGAUCGGAAAGAACACCAACGGCGAAAGCACUCUGCUGGGCCGACACUGACACUGAGAGACGAAAGCUAGGGGAGCAAAUGGGAUUAGAUACCCCCGUAGUCCCUGUCUCUUAUAC
This 301-nucleotide ribosomal RNA is filed under the name uncultured bacterium. RNAcentral describes it as "partial 16S ribosomal RNA". It matches the Rfam family "Bacterial small subunit ribosomal RNA", at positions 509 to 807 of the family's 1533-position model. The record is from RNAcentral.